Molecule: long non-coding RNA, 897 nt
Filed under: Sus scrofa (pig)
Lineage: Eukaryota; Metazoa; Chordata; Mammalia; Artiodactyla; Suidae
Description: lncRNA (ENSSSCG00070020306.1)
Source: RNAcentral
GGCGAGGAUGUGGUAUUUAGAAUAAGAGAUUUCCACAUGCUGGGUGGAUAGAGGGGCAGGAAUGACUAAAGCAGCAGCAAGAGGCCAACGAAGUCAGAGAGCAGGGAUAGGUGGCCCGAAGAUCUGGUGAGUGAAGUUCACAGAGCUGAGCCCCGGGAAGAAUGCCAGGCUCCUGGUUAGGGCGUUGUAGUCUCUGCCUUCCCUGACCGUGGAAGACACCUUGGAAGAAGCUCCUGGGCACUGUCUCCCUGGGAGGUGGGCGGGACUGCUGGCCAAAGGUCAGGGCAGAGGCAGCUCCACUGAGGAAAUGGAGAAGGACCAGCGUGGAGGGGAAGGAACUGGGAGGAGCAGCCAGCUGUCCCCUUCUCCAGGCUGCUGGGCAUAGAGCUGGACCCACGAGCAGCCCUGAGGACCAGCUGCCCCACGGGCGAGGGGGGAGCAAGACAGGCUGCACCUGCAUGCGGAGCCUUGGGGAAGGAGAGAAAAUUGAGACACUGAUGGAGGUUGAUGCAAGGAACCGAGGCAACCCUCCCCUCCAUCAAACCGCCUGGGCCCACCAUCUAUAGAGGGUGACUGCCUUUCUGCACGCGCCAGGGAGGCUGGACUCAGCAGAGCUUCCUGGCUCUCAGGUGAGGGGAACCUGAAACUUCUGAACAACCUGAGGAAGAAUGUGGUAGAAAUACCCCCUCUGAGCAUUCCAGGGUGGAAACCAACCAGAGCGUGUGUGUGUGUAUGUGUGUGUGUGUGUGUGUGUGUGUGUGUGUGUGUGUGUGUGGCGGGGGGGGGGGUGUUAUCAUUCCCAGUAGUCUAAAAAAUGAGAGGAAUGCCAGCACUGGGGAGAUAGGUACUUAGGCAUCAGGUAAUAAAGGGACUGAGGAAGGGGGCUGUGGGAGAGCC